GUAUAAGGUUUUAAAGGCAUCGCUGCCAUUUAAAUGACAUUCUAUAACAUACAAUGGGGUGUAUUGAAAACAUAGACGCUGGGAAAACCAAGGGAAGCCGACCUCAAAAGAAGCCAGCAGACCCUCAAAAUCCAAGUUGCCUUGAGAGGUAAUAUCCCCCCAGCAUCUACAAAGGGUGCACAGGUGGUUGAGAUAAGAGUUUGAAAGGCGUGCACAUGCUCCGAAAAGCCAGCUUCAGCCUCCCAACUUAUUCAAUAAUGAUCCUUCCGCAGGUUCACCUACGGAAA
This 287-nucleotide unclassified non-coding RNA is filed under the name uncultured fungus. Its description in RNAcentral is "sequence contains ITS1". The record is from RNAcentral. Lineage: Eukaryota; Fungi.